GUGAGGAAUAUUGGUCAAUGGGCGAGAGCCUGAACCAGCCAAGUAGCGUGCAGGACGACUGCCCUAUGGGUUGUAAACUGCUUUUAUGCGGGGAUAAAGUGAGGGACGUGUCCCUUUUUGUAGGUACCGCAUGAAUAAGGACCGGCUAAUUCCGUGCCAGCAGCCGCGGUAAUACGGAAGGUCCGGGCGUUAUCCGGAUUUAUUGGGUUUAAAGGGAGCGCAGGCCGAUGGUUAAGCGUGACGUGAAAUGUAGCCGCUCAACGGCUGAACUGCGUCGCGAACUGGCUGUCUUGAGUGAGUACGACGUCAGCGGAAUUCGUGGUGUAGCGGUGAAAUGCUUAGAUAUCACGAAGAACCCCGAUUGCGAAGGCAGCUGACGAGUCCUUUACUGACGCUAAAGCUCGAAGGUGCGGGUAUCGAACAGG
RNAcentral lists this ribosomal RNA (425 nucleotides) under uncultured rumen bacterium. RNAcentral's name for it is "bacterial SSU rRNA". It matches the Rfam family "Bacterial small subunit ribosomal RNA", at positions 354 to 776 of the family's 1533-position model. The record is from RNAcentral.